UUUUUAGUAUAAAUAUGUCCCAUGUAAUAUCUGGGGCAUGCUUACACUAAAA
This 52-nucleotide microRNA precursor is filed under the name Nomascus leucogenys (northern white-cheeked gibbon). RNAcentral's name for it is "mir-1302 microRNA precursor family". It matches the Rfam family "mir-1302 microRNA precursor family". The record is from Rfam by way of RNAcentral. Lineage: Eukaryota; Metazoa; Chordata; Mammalia; Primates; Hylobatidae.